UAAGACGAACCGUACGAACGUUAUUCGGAAUUACUGGGCUUAAAGGGUGCGUAGGCUGUGCAGAAAGUUGGGUGUGAAAUCCCCCGGCUCAACCGGGGAAUAGCGCUCAAAACUACUGUGCUAGAGGGAGACAGAGGUAAGCGGAACUCAGGGUGGAGCGGUGAAAUGCGUUGAUAUCCUGAGGAACACCGGUGGCGAAAGCGGCUUACUGGGUCUCUUCUGACGCUGAGGCACGAAAGCUAGGGUAGCGAACGGGAUUAGAUACCCCGGUAGUCCUAGCCGUAAACGAUGAGCACUGGGUUGGAGGGUCCCUCAUAGCCUUCCAGCCGCAGCGAAAGUGUUAAGUGCUCCGCCUGGGGAGUAUGGUCGCAAGGCUG
RNAcentral lists this ribosomal RNA (377 nucleotides) under uncultured bacterium. RNAcentral describes it as "bacterial SSU rRNA". It matches the Rfam family "Bacterial small subunit ribosomal RNA", at positions 521 to 896 of the family's 1533-position model. The record is from RNAcentral.